Long non-coding RNA from Corapipo altera (White-ruffed manakin), 205 nucleotides. RefSeq lists it as uncharacterized. The transcript has 3 exons. NCBI's taxonomy places the organism in Eukaryota, Metazoa, Chordata, Aves, Passeriformes, Pipridae. The record is from RefSeq and is a predicted model, not a curated record.
UUAAAAUACUGUUUUUAACCUCAUUUAUCACAAACAUGGGACAAGAGAACCCAGUUGAAACACUGGGUGAAUAAAUGAGCUGUGCUGCUGGUGACAUACAUUUGAGGGAAAACUAGGUUCCCUUAGCUGAAGUGAUGUGACAUGAUGCAUAAAUUUCAGUGAGAGUGUCUUAAAGAAAAAAGAAACCAAAGAAAACCAGGCAAAU